Long non-coding RNA from Paramormyrops kingsleyae, 1741 nucleotides. RefSeq lists it as uncharacterized. The record is from RefSeq and is a predicted model, not a curated record. NCBI's taxonomy places the organism in Eukaryota, Metazoa, Chordata, Actinopteri, Osteoglossiformes, Mormyridae.
ACUGGAACUUAAACAGUUAACCCCACACACAGUGGGUAUCAACAGGAAAGCUGGGAGGGAGUAGAGAGAGAGAGAGAGAAUUGCGUGCAGAGUGAAGUGUUGAGAAACAAAGUGAGCUGAGGAGCAGCGAGACACGACAGCUGUAAUACACCACAGACUAUUAAACCGCCGAUUCGGUCCUGCUUCUAAGAGCCGGCGGCACACGGAUGCCAGUCGAGCUUCAGGCGGCUCGCGGUCGCCGUAGCGGGCCGGGCAUCUCUUCUUUCCGAGGCAGAAGGCGUCGGCUUCAGUUCGGCCGGGCAGAUUUAAUAAAACAUGAGGCUUCCCUUCGUCAUGCGCAGUGUCUUGGCCUCGGAGAGGCAGCCCCUGUCACCGCACCUUGUUCUUUAAAGAGCUCGUGACAGCAGCCCGGUGGCGGAUGCCUGAGAGAGAGCGGAUCCCAAAAGGAGAAUGACGUACAGCCCAUCACACGCUUGGCCCUGUUGCCAAAACUGCACGAGUCAACAGUUCACCACCCUCUCUUUCUAGUGUAAAAAAUGUUUAAAUAUUUACAUAAGUGUAUCAUUUACCAUUUCACCCAGCAUAGCGAUGUCUUAUUUUAUCUAGAUAUUCCCUGGAUACAUUUCCUUGUAUUAGAUAUUUCCUAUCUUUUAUCUUUCUGCCCAUGACCUUGUUUAAUCUGCUAAACUUAGCCGAGAGAGAGAGAGAGCGAAACAGAGUCACAGUUUCUGUAAAGUCACCCUUAUGACCAGGCAAACAGUCACACCACACCUUCAACAGCUGCAGGACUAUAGACACGUGGAGCACCUGCACAAGCGCAAAGGACAGUGCAGACAAACCCCAGCUGCAGAACCAUAGACAUGUGGAGCACCUGCACAUGAGCAAAGGACAGUGCAGACAAACCCCAGCUGCAGGACCAUAGACAUGUGGAGCACCUGCACAUGCGCAAAGGACAGUGCAGACAAGCCCCAGCUGCAGAAUCUGUUUCUGACAAUGUUAGCGAGGGAGAUGAAAAGCUGAUUUUAUCAGCUACAGCCCAAACCACUGCGAGUUGUCUAGUGGGCAGAAGAGUGUAGAGCACAUAAGUUCUUCUUGCCUGACAGAAACACCUGAGGCAGACUGGAAGGUCUGAUUCUGAAGCAGAGGAACGUGGGCCUGGACUUGUAGCAGUGUAGAGAUGUGACAGAAAGGGGACAGUGCUGGGUAUCUCAGCUCUACCUACCAUCUCCCUGACCGCUAUGAGACGGCACUUUCCCUAUAAACGUACCACGUAUGGCACUUUUCUUGUGUCCCGGCUUGCAAUUAAUGCACGGCUUAUUAAAGUCACAAAUAAGCACAAAUACAAUGGUGUAAGGCCAGAAGAGCAGAAACUGAAAUUACCAGGCUGCAUAUACUGUAAGUCUGGCUGCAGCACAAGUUCAAGAGAUGGGGAAGACAGAUUGAAUGACCAUGAAAUAAAGAUGGACAGGACAGAUGGACGGCUCAGGAUAUAGAGACAAUGCAGGCCACACCCACACAGGUACAGAGAUCAGGUAAUGCUGCACCACACCCAUUUCAGGAAUGCCUUUAGGAAAAAUGGCAGCUUAAAGAUCAAACGCUUUCCCACGUACACCUGCCUAAUUGUUGUGCAUGUGACAUUUUUCUUAAAUUUUCCAUAUUCCAUGUAGCACCAAUCCCUUGAUAUACCAAGUUAUAUUUUCACAAAUAAAGUCUCAGAACAUACCCAAGGGUGAAUGUGGAA